AGGCGUAGGCGAUGGAUAACAGGUUGAUAUUCCUGUACCACCUAUAAUCGUUUUAAUCGAUGGGGGGACGCAGUAGGAUAGGCGAAGCGUGCGAUUGGAUUGCACGUCUAAGCAGUAAGGCUGAGUAUUAGGCAAAUCCGGUACUCGUUAAGGCUGAGCUGUGAUGGGGAGAAGACAUUGUGUCUUCGAGUCGUUGAUUUCACACUGCCGAGAAAAGCCUCUAGAUAGAAAAUAGGUGCCCGUACCGCAAACCGACACAGGUAGUCAAGAUGAGAAUUCUAAGGUGAGCGAGCGAACUCUCGUUAAGGAACUCGGCAAAAUGACCCCGUAACUUCGGGAGAAGGGGUGCUCUUUAGGGUUAACGCCCAGAAGAGCCGCAGUGAAUAGGCCCAAGCGACUGUUUAUCAAAAACACAGGUCUCUGCUAAACCGUAAGGUGAUGUAUAGGGGCUGACGCCUGCCCGGUGCUGGAAGGUUAAGAGGAGUGGUUAGCUUCUGCGAAGCUACGAAUCGAAGCCCCAGUAAACGGCGGCCGUAACUAUAACGGUCCUAAGGUAGCGAAAUUCCUUGUCGGGUAAGUUCCGACCCGCACGAAAGGCGUAACGAUUUGGGCACUGUCUCAACGAGAGACUCGGUGAAAUCAUAGUACCUGUGAAGAUGCAGGUUACCCGCGACAGGACGGAAAGACCCCGUGGAGCUUUACUGUAGCCUGAUAUUGAAAUUCGGCACAGCUUGUACAGGAUAGGUAGGAGCCUUUGAAACGUGAGCGCUAGCUUACGUGGAGGCGCUGGUGGGAUACUACCCUAGCUGUGUUGGCUUUCUAACCCGCACCACUUAUCGUGGUGGGAGACAGUGUCAGGCGGGCAGUUUGACUGGGGCGGUCGCCUCCUAAAAGGUAACGGAGGCGCUCAAAGGUUCCCUCAGAAUGGUUGGAAAUCAUUCAUAGAGUGUAAAGGCAUAAGGGAGCUUGACUGCGAGACCUACAAGUCGAGCAGGGUCGAAAGACGGACUUAGUGAUCCGGUGGUUCCGCAUGGAAGGGCCAUCGCUCAACGGAUAAAAGCUACCCCGGGGAUAACAGGCUUAUCUCCCCCAAGAGUUCACAUCGACGGGGAGGUUUGGCACCUCGAUGUCGGCUCAUCGCAUCCUGGGGCUGUAGUCGGUCCCAAGGGUUGGGCUGUUCGCCCAUUAAAGCGGUACGCGAGCUGGGUUCAGAACGUCGUGAGACAGUUCGGUCCCUAUCCGUCGUGGGCGUAGGAAAUUUGAGAGGAGCUGUCCUUAGUACGAGAGGACCGGGAUGGACAUACCUCUGGUGUACCAGUUGUCGUGCCAACGGCAUAGCUGGGUAGCUAUGUGUGGACGGGAUAAGUGCUGAAAGCAUCUAAGCAUGAAGCCCCCCUCAAGAUGAGAUUUCCCAACUUCGGUUAUAAGAUCCCUCAAAGAU
This 1441-nucleotide ribosomal RNA is filed under the name Staphylococcus aureus. RNAcentral describes it as "partial 23S ribosomal RNA". It matches the Rfam family "Bacterial large subunit ribosomal RNA", at positions 1407 to 2845 of the family's 2925-position model. The record is from RNAcentral. Lineage: Bacteria; Bacillati; Bacillota; Bacilli; Caryophanales; Staphylococcaceae.